GGAAUAUAAUAAACCGUCUCUUAACUUAUAACUAAAAAAACCAAGAACCGGCUCUUAAAUAAGAUCCGGUUCUUAGCUUUUUUUAGUUAAAAGUUAAGAGACGGUUUAUUAUAUUUG
Non-coding RNA from Brassica napus (rape), 117 nucleotides. NCBI's taxonomy places the organism in Eukaryota, Viridiplantae, Streptophyta, Magnoliopsida, Brassicales, Brassicaceae. The record is from Rfam.